Long non-coding RNA from Cyprinus carpio (common carp), 1024 nucleotides. NCBI's taxonomy places the organism in Eukaryota, Metazoa, Chordata, Actinopteri, Cypriniformes, Cyprinidae. The record is from Ensembl.
GCAGGUAGGCCCUUCUGGGAACUCCAAGAGGAGCUCUUAGAGGGGGGGGUACUGUCACGGUUGGUAAACCGUGAUCUCUGGGUGUUGGCACUUUGUGGUGAAGUCUGUGUGUUUCGCGUCUGCACUGAUUAGUUUGUGGGCGUCUCCGUUAAUUGUCAUCAGCAGCAGCUGUCACUCAUCACUCUCUCCCUAUAUAAUGGCUUGUCUCACGUCUUGUGUUUGUGAGAGCGUUGUUUCAUGUUUGGUAACUGUUCUUUGCUUCUGUGUUGUUCUGCGUUGGAUGUCCGUGUCUUCCCCCGGAACCUCAUCCACUCAUCGCACCUUCACAAGCAUCACCACUUACCUUCGGCUCGAUUCCCCGCAGUUCCUGUGCCAUCCUCUCCUGCUGCCAACUCACCAUCACCAUCUGGAUUACUCACCGUCUCCCACCAUCUUGGAUUGUCGUCUUCCCAGCGUUCCUCUCAGCGGCUAUAGGCUGCCACUACAUUUUAGUCAACUUGGAUUAAGGACCCAAUUUGGAAAUGGCUUUACUGGCACAUCGUAUGUUCAUUGCACCGAGCUUUGAAGUGGAGCAGCAGACACGACGUGCACAAAACGGCACAAUGAGGUAUGUCUGCAGUUUAAAUGGAUUCUAACUGCAUUGCUGUUGUGCAAGACGCGGUGAUAUCCGCUGUAUUGAACUACCAUUGGAUAGAAUGCAGUUUAUGGGCCCUUGUGUGUUGCCUUACUAUGUACAUUCAUUCACAGUUGGCCUUGUGUGUGCUGACUGCGACGCUGUUUGGCUUUGGGUUGAAGUGGCUUGUUGUGUUUGAGAAUCGCCUGCACUUAACCAACUAAUACUAGUACUUACCUUUUCUUUUUCUUGUCUAUCAUAUUCUUAAAAAAAAAAAAAAACCCUGGCUACAUGUUCUGUACUAGACUAACUGAGACUUGUCAUAGCACUUGUAUACCAUUGUUGUUCAAUCUGUUGAUCUGAUUGUUUCUAUUGUUCUCAUUUGUAAGUCGCUUUCGAUAAAAGCGUCUG